AAUUACGGGAUACGAACUGAAAAGGCGACAGUGUAUCUGUGAUUAUCUGAGCUGGCGACAGUGUAUUAGUCGCCACCCUCUGAGCCGUUUAUGAUAAUUUCAUUAAUUAAAAACUAGUUUGAGUGACAAAAUAGUAUGUUACCACUAUAGCUUAUAAGAACUGGCAGUAUGAAGCGAUAGUGCAAAGUGUUAGCUGAAUUCAAGUCCUGGAUCCGCCAUCUACUUAAUGAUGCCGGAUGUCCAAAUUGUUGAGAUCAUUGAGUUUAGACAGGAUAUGAAUGGAUCUGAAAUUGGAGUGUUGAUAGAACAAAAUAAUCUAUAUAUGUAGGUAUAGGUGGAUUUCCUAGUGUUGAUAUACUCCUUAUGAUGAAGGCGCAAAGCUAUCGGAAUUUGGUCCAAAAACACCGGGAAAAAGUCCGGCAAUUGGAUGCACCACAGUAUUUCUAGUGCAAAGAUUCCCUCUCUGCGGUAAAUGUAGGGUGGCUGCACUUAAAAACAAUAUGACAUCGAUGUGGUUGUGUUCGGACCAGUUCUCAAAAUAAAAUUUCCACGGCAGUGUUAUUCGAUUACAGCAGCUUGAAACUAGAUUUAUGAGGUUUCGUCACCGCUGGGCUAGUUCAUUUAUAGUUGCCUAGUUUCAUAUUCUUUUCUUUUCUGGGUACGUUUACUACUGCAAGAUUCAACUUUUCAAUCUACAAUUCAACAUCCAAUAAA
This is a long non-coding RNA of Aedes aegypti (yellow fever mosquito), 714 nucleotides long. RefSeq lists it as uncharacterized. The transcript has 3 exons. The record is from RefSeq and is a predicted model, not a curated record. Lineage: Eukaryota; Metazoa; Arthropoda; Insecta; Diptera; Culicidae.